Molecule: long non-coding RNA, 2487 nt
Organism: Gallus gallus (chicken)
Lineage: Eukaryota; Metazoa; Chordata; Aves; Galliformes; Phasianidae
Exons: 2
Source: RefSeq, a predicted model, not a curated record
CUCUUCAUUACGCUUGCGGCAAUUAUAACAAGAGAACAACUGUGACAGAAUGCAAGGGAAGGCAUUCCACAUCUGUCAACAAUUGGAUAGGAAACAACAGGAAUUCAUCCAGAGAAAUGUGGAGCCAGGGAAACUGACCUGGGGUGGAAAAAAAUAACAAAAUAUCCUGUGGGAAGAUUUGGUUUAUUUACAAACACUAGUAAGCAUUUUCGGGAAAGAGGGGGGUUUUUAUAGCCUAGGCAUUUUAUCACAAAUAUAAAAAUAGGGUGUUUUUUUUUAAUUAUUUUGAAUGGAAUACCCUGUAAAACCCGUGUGCUUUUGGUUAUCCCUCCAGAGAUGUUUGAUGUCUCACAACUAAAACCUACCUCUAAAGAUCUGCAUCAAUGAAAGCAGAGUAAGUCUUUGCUGCCCAAGGCAUUGUUUUCACCCCCAUGCCUCACAGGUGCACAGUGUGCCUGCUUAUCCUUAGGCAGACAUUCAUCUAGUUCAAGGUGAGAUGAGUCGCCAGCGCUGAUAACCUGAAGUCUUCAAAUCCCUGUAUGCAAACAGAGGUUAAUGACGUUUCCUCCCCUCUGCAGCAACCCAGCAAUACACUCUGACAGAGGCAUCAACUGAGAUAAAGAACAUCACUUUCCAGGAAACUGUACGUUCUGCUGCCCUUGAAACAGUGCAGUUUCACAGUGGGUACAUCCUUUGGUAAUUUCCUCAUCAGCAAAACUUGAGAAAACAUACAUUGCUAAUCACAAGGACGCACCAUUAGGACAUGUGUAUAUCUGGUCUGGUGAAAACAAAGCAGUGAAUGCGAUGACGUGGUGGCUGGGGUUUAUAAGACAGUGAUCCCUAUUCAGCUCAGUAGGACUACUACUGGUUCCUAGAUAUCCAUUUCUGGCUCUCUAGACAUUCAUUUACCAGCCCAGAUGGAGAUAGAAAACCACAGUACUGGGACCAUAGUCCACGCUAAUGAUCUUGGACAGCUUCAAGCACUGAACUGCCAAGCAUCACUGUGACAGUAACAUCAUUGUCGCAUCAUUGUUGUUGACUGAUGCAGAAAACAGAAUGGAUCUACCAACCUGAGCCUGCUGCAGAACAACUUGCUUACAUGAGGUUAAGUCAGCCAGCUGCAGAGGAAAGAGCAGUUUCCUGGUAUUUGAUUCUAAAGUCAUGUGUUUGGAUCCAUUUUGGCAUCUCUUAGCAAGAGAACAAGCUUGGCAAGUUCCCUACACGCAAAAAAUGUGCAACUGAGAGGGGAAGACUCUCUCCUAAAGCAGAUGUUUUCUGGUAGUGAAAUUUUCCCGUGGAAAGCAAGAUGAAAAAUCAGACAGUAUAUCAUCAGGAUAACUCAUGCUAUCCUGCUUCAGUGGGAGGCUGCACAGGUUCAGAUCAUAGCAAGAAAAACAGGAACAGAAAUGUUGCCAGGAGCAUAGGAUGUUCUAAAGUCUGUACCUACUACCAUACACUCUUUAGGAGAGGCUGAAUUUUAUGAGGAUUUGAAUCAAGACCAGUUACACGUGUCUCUUGAAAAGCUGAUGAGUUCGGUAUUCUUCUAAGAAGUCCAAACCCUGGAAUGGGUGGAAAAGUUUUCCUCUGGAAGGACAAACAGUGCCUGUUUUCUUAUCCAGAAGUGCUGUAAGGAGGACCAAUGAACCACAAUGGUCAGACCUGGUACUGAGCGGAUGUGCUUGCCAAGGGAUAUGUGGAGGACUGAACUAACAUGGAGCUGGAUCUUCAACCGAGGUUUGCUGGUGCUUUCUGAAGCCCACAUAAAGCCACCUUUACAGACCACUCUUUUGCUUGCUGUCUGUGUGUGUGCAGAAAGGAAAAAAGGGGUUGUCACCAGAUCCCACAUGUCCCCUGGAAGAACCAUCAUUUACCUUGAAGAAACUUGAGUAUGAAUAGUCUGGAGGGACUGGUCUGUCAGCACAAAUGACGUCCACUGAGAUACCUGCCCAUCUCUAAGUACACCAAGAUGGAAAAUCAAGGCUGAUGGCCAAGGUCUCAAAGGCAGACAUCUCCUCCCAGCUGUCCUCACUGUAGAUAAAACAUUUUUUGAGAUGGAAGAAAUGUGAAGAAGAAGAGGUGAAUCUGACAGAGAGAACUGAACAGAAGGAACUGGGCUGAAAACAAUUUUCUUUUAGUUAUUUUUGUCCAAAAGGAGAGCCAUGUCGUAGAGCAGAGAGCAGUUUGCAGUUGAAGCAGGAGCAGAAGUCCAAGCCAGCUUACCUCGUGAAUGUGCUUGAGGACCUCCUUAACUCUCAUUGGCUGCCUCUCACACUACAGCAGAAAGGCCAACCCCAUAGAAAGUGAACAAAUGAACCACGUGAAAGAAAGCUAAAAAAUGUCAGGGGAGCUUGGUGAAGAGCUAUUUGCAAGGUACAAAAGAAAGAGCAGGAGCUGCCUAAGUGCCUCUUGAAACUAGAGAGGUUGCACUCAGUUCAUAGCAAUACAUGCCUUCUGCUGAGAGCAGAUAAUAAAAUCUCUCUGGCUGCA